AGCUUUGCGCAGUGGCAGUAUCGUAGCCAAUGAGGUUUAUCCGAGGCAUGAUUAUUGCUAAGAAAUGCACUGUGCAGAGUGAGAGCUGGCCACUACAUAGUUCAAGGUGGUCACGUGGUGCUUACAUUUGUGAAACUCCCAGGA
This is a small nuclear RNA of Octodon degus (degu), 144 nucleotides long. Its record names the gene U4. It matches the Rfam family "U4 spliceosomal RNA". From Rfam's summary of the family: U4 small nuclear RNA (U4 snRNA) is a component of the major U2-dependent spliceosome. The structure of U4 snRNA from yeast and human has been reported. NCBI's taxonomy places the organism in Eukaryota, Metazoa, Chordata, Mammalia, Rodentia, Octodontidae. The record is from Ensembl.